CUGUUGUCACCGCUACACGCAACCAACCUCAGGACAAUUUAUCAAAUUAAUCCAACUUUUCUAGUCUGACUUUAUACACAGCAAACUUACCAAAAAUUUCCAAAACAAAAAAAAAAGUUGCCAAGCUACCAAGCGCUCAAAAAGUUACCUAUUUUGGUCACAGGUGACCAAAUGUGGUAACCGUGCUUCUACCGCUUACACUUUGUUGCUUUUUCUAUUUUGCCUUAAACAAACAAUCGUGGUAUAAAGCCCACGGUCAAAAUUUUUAAAUAAAUAAAAUGUUAA
Molecule: long non-coding RNA, 285 nt
Organism: Rhagoletis zephyria (snowberry fruit fly)
Lineage: Eukaryota; Metazoa; Arthropoda; Insecta; Diptera; Tephritidae
Source: RefSeq, a predicted model, not a curated record